This is a long non-coding RNA of Quercus lobata, 668 nucleotides long. RefSeq lists it as uncharacterized. Lineage: Eukaryota; Viridiplantae; Streptophyta; Magnoliopsida; Fagales; Fagaceae. The transcript is spliced from 2 exons. The record is from RefSeq and is a predicted model, not a curated record.
AGUCUUCCCUUCUAUCCACUUAAAACACUAUCUGAGCUCAAUUCGCUGGAUAACAUUUGAAGAGGAGAGUUGUCUGAAAGGGGGAAUCUUCUGCUACACUGCUGCGUUGCAACUCGGAGUUUUACAAUGUUGUGCAUCCAAUUCCAUGCUCCAUUGCUUCCCUUACAAUCACAGCUCAAACACAAGAAACAUCCGAGGACACCUCAGCUGCUUUGGCUCUCUAGCUGUGAAGCUACACAGUUUUUUCCACACAGGCCAAACAACUUUUCUCUACUGGCUCCGAGGACCAACGCCAUCCCCAAUUCUCUUCUUCUCGCUGCCUCGUCCGAAGUCAAGCCCGGAGGAGACAUAUCGGUCCUGCUCCCAGUCAGUGCGGUACUUCUCUCUGCAUACUUCCUAGCAAAUUUCAUCGUGCCGACAUUCAUCAUGAAGGAUUUAGGCUUUGACAAAGAAAGUGAAAAGCAGAAGGGUAAUGAUGAUAAUUCCAAUUAAGAUGAUAUCACCAGCACAACUAGCAGUCAAGUAAGCUCAGAAACUAAGGUGAGAGCAUGAGGUUAAAAAAGAGGGGCAUUCUUUCAUGUGAUAUCUUAAUUAUAACUGUGAUUGUAGUAAUAAUACCAUCGCUUCAAAACAUCUGUUCAUGAUUUACCACUCCCAAUUUACUUUCA